GAUGAACGCUGGCGGCGUGCCUAAUACAUGCAAGUCGAGCGAACGGACGAGAAGCUUGCUUCUCUGAUGUUAGCGGCGGACGGGUGAGUAACACGUGGAUAACCUACCUAUAAGACUGGGAUAACUUCGUGAAACCGUAGCUAAUACCGGAUAAUAUUAUGAACCGCAUGGUUCAAAAGUGAAAGACGAUCUUGCUGUCACUUUUAGAUGGAUCCGCGCUGCAUUAGCUAGUUGGUAAGGUAACGGCUUACCAAGGCAACGAUGCAUAGCCGACCUGAGAGGGUGAUCGGCCACACUGGAACUGAGACACGGUCCAGACUCCUACGGGAGGCAGCAGUAGGGAAUCUUGCGCAAUGGGCGAAAGCCUGACGGAGCAACGCCGCGUGAGUGAUGAAGGUCUUCGGAUCGUAAAACUCUGUUAUUAGGGAAGAACAUAUGUGUAAGUAACUGUGCACAUCUUGACGGUACCUAAACAGAAAGCCACGGCUAACUACGUG
RNAcentral lists this ribosomal RNA (497 nucleotides) under uncultured bacterium. Its description in RNAcentral is "partial 16S ribosomal RNA". It matches the Rfam family "Bacterial small subunit ribosomal RNA", at positions 28 to 507 of the family's 1533-position model. The record is from RNAcentral.